RNAcentral lists this ribosomal RNA (253 nucleotides) under Tepidisphaera sp. RNAcentral describes it as "partial 16S ribosomal RNA". It matches the Rfam family "Bacterial small subunit ribosomal RNA", at positions 524 to 776 of the family's 1533-position model. The record is from RNAcentral. Lineage: Bacteria; Pseudomonadati; Planctomycetota; Phycisphaerae; Tepidisphaerales; Tepidisphaeraceae. RNAcentral also lists the same sequence under 1 other name.
UACAGAGGCCUCGAGCGUUAGGCGGAAUCACUGGGCUUAAAGCGUGUGUAGGUGGAGUUCUAAGUACCUUGUGAAAUCCCACGGCUCAACCGUGGAACUGCUGGGUAUACUGGUUCUCUUGAGGUACCUAGGGGCGAGCGGAACAAGUGGUGGAGCGGUGAAAUGCGUAGAUAUCACUUGGAACGCCAACGGUGAAAACAGCUCGCUGGGGGUAUCCUGACACUGAGACACGAAAGCCAGGGGAGCAAACGGG